GACGAACGCUGGCGGCGUGCCUAAUACAUGCAAGUAGAACGCUGAAGAGAGGAGCUUGCUCUUCUUGGAUGAGUUGCGAACGGGUGAGUAACGCGUAGGUAACCUGCCUUGUAGCGGGGGAUAACUAUUGGAAACGAUAGCUAAUACCGCAUAACAAUGGAUGACACAUGUCAUUUAUUUGAAAGGGGCAAUUGCUCCACUACAAGAUGGACCUGCGUUGUAUUAGCUAGUAGGUGAGGUAAUGGCUCACCUAGGCGACGAUACAUAGCCGACCUGAGAGGGUGAUCGGCCACACUGGGACUGAGACACGGCCCAGACUCCUACGGGAGGCAGCAGUAGGGAAUCUUCGGCAAAGGGGGCAACCCUGACCGAGCAACGCCGCGUGAGUGAAGAAGGUUGUCGGAUCGUAAAGCUCUGUUGUAAGUCAAGAACGGGUGUGAGAGUGGAAAGUUCACACUGUGACGGUAGCUUACCAGAAAGGGACGGCUAACUACGUG
RNAcentral lists this ribosomal RNA (497 nucleotides) under uncultured bacterium. RNAcentral describes it as "partial 16S ribosomal RNA". It matches the Rfam family "Bacterial small subunit ribosomal RNA", at positions 28 to 507 of the family's 1533-position model. The record is from RNAcentral.